ACUCCUACGGGACGCAGCAGUAGGGAAUCUUCCACAAUGGACGAAAGUCUGAACCAGCCAAGCCGCGUGAGGGAAGACGGCCCUAUGGGUUGUAAACCUCUUUUGUCGGAGAACAAAACCCGGGACGUGUCCCGGACUGCGUGUAUCCGAAGAAAAAGCAUCGGCUAACUCCGUGCCAGCAGCCGCGGUAAUACGGAGGAUGCGAGCGUUAUCCGGAUUUAUUGGGUUUAAAGGGUGCGUAGGCUGUCCGUUAAGUCAGCGGUAAAAUUGCGGGGCUCAACCCCGUCGAGCCGUUGAAACUGGCA
This 305-nucleotide ribosomal RNA is filed under the name uncultured bacterium. RNAcentral describes it as "bacterial SSU rRNA". It matches the Rfam family "Bacterial small subunit ribosomal RNA", at positions 335 to 638 of the family's 1533-position model. The record is from RNAcentral.